This 492-nucleotide ribosomal RNA is filed under the name uncultured bacterium. RNAcentral describes it as "partial 16S ribosomal RNA". It matches the Rfam family "Bacterial small subunit ribosomal RNA", at positions 29 to 507 of the family's 1533-position model. The record is from RNAcentral.
AUUGAACGCUGGCGGCAUGCUUUACACAUGCAAGUCGAACGGUAACAGGCCUUCGGGUGCUGACGAGUGGCGAACGGGUGAGUAAUGCAUCGGAACGUACCCAGAGGUGGGGGAUAACGCAGCGAAAGCUGUGCUAAUACCGCAUGUGAUCUGAGGAUGACAGCGGGGGACCGAGCAGCAAUGUUUGGCCUCGCGCCUUUGGAGCGGCCGAUGUCGGAUUAGCUAGUUGGUGGGGUAAAGGCCUACCAAGGCGACGAUCCGUAGCUGGUCUGAGAGGACGACCAGCCACACUGGGACUGAGACACGGCCCAGACUCCUACGGGAGGCAGCAAUGGGGAAUUUUGGACAAUGGGCGCAAGCCUGAUCCAGCAAUGCCGCGUGCGGGAAGAAGGCCUUCGGGUUGUAAACCGCUUUUGGCAGGAACGAAACGGUGUCCGCUAAUACCGGGCGCUAAUGACGGUACCUGCAGAAUAAGCACCGGCUAACUACGUG